AUCAUCCCAAGCAGAUACAGUAUUUUCCUUUAGGCCCGGUGGCACAUGUAGCACUUUGGUACUUGUCCUUCAAGAUUUUCUGGCAUGCUGCUAUACAUGCAGACAGUGUACAUGGAUUUAAGUCAAUCCCAAUUGCACUCUCCACCUUAAUUGGAUCACAAAUAAUUAAGGCCAUAAUCACCAUCAUUAGCACUAAUCCACUCUUCCUUAAUCCCUUUGCUUCCAUUUCUUACUAGUACUAGUUGCUUUCUCUUUUCUUUUAUGAUGAAG
RNAcentral lists this long non-coding RNA (270 nucleotides) under Capsicum annuum. RNAcentral's name for it is "long non-coding RNA (CANN_LNC004304)". The record is from RNAcentral. Lineage: Eukaryota; Viridiplantae; Streptophyta; Magnoliopsida; Solanales; Solanaceae.